UGAGGAAUAUUGCGCAAUGGAGGCAACUCUGACGCAGCAACGCCGCGUGGGGGAAGAAGGCCUUCGGGUCGUAAACCCCUUUUGCCGGGGAAGAUCAUGACGGUACCCGGCGAAUAAGCCACGGCUAACUACGUGCCAGCAGCCGCGGUAAUACGUAGGUGGCAAGCGUUGUCCGGAUUUAUUGGGCGGAAAGCGCGCGCAGGCGGUUCGGUAAGUCCGGGGUGCAAUCUCCCGGCUCAACUGGGCGGG
This 249-nucleotide ribosomal RNA is filed under the name uncultured Chloroflexota bacterium. Its description in RNAcentral is "uncultured Chloroflexi bacterium partial 16S ribosomal RNA". It matches the Rfam family "Bacterial small subunit ribosomal RNA", at positions 355 to 621 of the family's 1533-position model. Lineage: Bacteria; Bacillati; Chloroflexota. The record is from RNAcentral.